UACGUAGGCAGCGAGCGUUGUUCGGAAUUACUGGGCGUAAAGAGUGUGUAGGCGGUGCUCUAAGUUCGGUGUGAAAUCUCCUGGCUCAACUGGGAGGGUGCGCCGGAAACUGGAGUGCUUGAGCGUGGGAGAGGAAAGCGGAAUUCCUGGUGUAGCGGUGAAAUGCGUAGAUAUCAGGAGGAACACCUGUGGUGUAGACGCUUUCUGGACCAUAGCUGACGCUGAGACACGAAAGCGUGGGUAGCAAACAGG
RNAcentral lists this ribosomal RNA (252 nucleotides) under uncultured bacterium. RNAcentral's name for it is "partial 16S ribosomal RNA". It matches the Rfam family "Bacterial small subunit ribosomal RNA", at positions 524 to 776 of the family's 1533-position model. The record is from RNAcentral.